This 267-nucleotide long non-coding RNA is filed under the name Ananas comosus (pineapple). RNAcentral's name for it is "long non-coding RNA (ACOM_LNC008900)". The record is from RNAcentral. Lineage: Eukaryota; Viridiplantae; Streptophyta; Magnoliopsida; Poales; Bromeliaceae.
UAGGUGUUGGAUUAAAUAGGUCAGCAUCCUGCUUUGUGGCGGGAGGCUAUGUAGGCCGAGUCAUGUUCGAAAUCGCGUGAGGCUGGGUUGGGCCGAGUCAUGUUCGAAGUGGCGUAAGGCUAGGUAGGUCGAGUUACAAUCAAGACUCGUGAACGCUAUUUCUGUAUGCUUUAAAUGAAUUGGUUGCGUAUUUCUGACAGCUCGAGCUUUUGGGAUUAAUGGUUAGCGCCAACGAUCCAACAAGUGAUAUCAGAGCCAGAGGUCACG